AACGCAUAUUGCGCUCUUUGGUAUUCCGAAGAGCAUGCUUGUUUGAGUAUCAGUAAACACCUCAAAGCUUUUGGAUUUUUUUAAUCGAAAAGCUUUGGACUUGAGCAAUCCCAACACCAAUCUUUUUGAGAUCGGUGGCGGGUUGCUUGAAAUGCAGGUGCAGCUGGACAUUCUCCUGAGCUAAAAGCAUAUUCAUUUAGUCCCGUCAAACGGAUUAUUACUUUUGCUGCAGCUAACAUAAAGGGAGUUUGACCGUAUUGGCUGACUGAUGCAGGAUUUCACAAGGGUCGGCAACGAUUCUUGUUAAACUCGAUCUCAAAUCAAGUAAGACUACCCGCUGAACUUAA
Molecule: unclassified non-coding RNA, 347 nt
Filed under: uncultured fungus
Lineage: Eukaryota; Fungi
Also listed under: 1 other name
Description: sequence contains ITS2
Source: RNAcentral